Molecule: long non-coding RNA, 1691 nt
Organism: Suricata suricatta (meerkat)
Lineage: Eukaryota; Metazoa; Chordata; Mammalia; Carnivora; Herpestidae
Exons: 4
Source: RefSeq, a predicted model, not a curated record
CGCCCUGGAAAAGAGGGAAGGGACAGGGUUGCCACGCCCAGUAAGGACCCAGCUCCCAAGCCCACCUCCCCCAUCGAGGGGGCCUUGCCACCUGCGCAGGGGCCAGCAGCAGGUUGCGGACAGGUUCUGGUUCAGGGAACACCUGGAUCUCCUCGACCAGACGGACAGUGCUGUCCCCACUCCUCACAGCCUUGUGGAGGGACCCCGUGGCUGCAGGGAGACAGAGAGCGGAGACUGUCACUGUGUCCACGGACCGUCUCGUGCCACCUCUGACUCCGGAUGGCCUCCCAGCUGUCAGAGAGAAGGCUCCUUCUGGACGCACAUGCCGAUCUGUUGGGCCGGUCCCUUCUAUGCCGCAGAGAGUGUGGAAAUCCUGUUGCGGUCCCGGAGCCCUCUACUCACUGGUGCCCAGGUACAGGACCAGGUGGCUGUGCCCGUCGACGCCCUGGACCGUCUCCACUGCGAGUCGCGUGUACUCCACGCCAGACUUCACCAGCACAGGCGUCCCCACCACCUGCUCAUCCAUCAGGAAAUGGUCCUUCAUGAAGGUCAAGGCUUUAUCAGAGGAGGGGCCCACGGAGCACUGAAGCGGGGGGGAGGAGGCAGAUGAUCAGGUCAGCUCUCGCCUUCCCGUGAGCUCCCACUGCCUCUUCCCUCCCUCCCUCCCACGCUCGAGCCUGCUUUGGCUCCCUCUCUCCAGGGAGGUGGCUAAACUCUGGAGCUGCGGGCCCCGCAUUCCAGCUCUGUACAUAGCGCAGUGCGCAUCGUAGGCUUGCUGCAGCAGGAGAUGCGCGCAUACCGGAAAGUAACAAGAACAGAGCGUGACACGGAGGAAGUGCUCGGAUCCUUGUCCUCCACACCCACGAGUCCUGUGUCAGGGCCAGCCCUGACUCCGUCCCCUGACAGCGCGUCCUCAGACAAGUUACCCCACCUCUAUGAGCUUCCGCUUCCUUGUCUGCAAGUGAGCAGCCAGGCCACCCCCCUCCAAGCAGACUAGAAGAGGACUCUGGAAAACUGACUGGAGGUCAAGGGUAAGACUUGAUGAUAUUGACCUUGAAGGUCCCGAGAAGACUGCCCAGCCAGGCCACCUCCAGGGGACAACAGUGGAGCCCACACUGCCAAGUCUCCCCAGUGCAGUUUCCAAACAGUUGGGUGGUCCCCACCCUCAAAUACAGCGGAGGGCCAGGGCUACCAGACCAAAAUAGACAGACAGACAGACAGCUAAAUGAUUUAGAGAAAAGAGAUUUCCACGGCAAAGUAGCGUUACUGUCUUCGGAGAGCUAAGUAGAGAGAGUGUAUCUGCAAAACAAGAACAGGAUGCUACAGAAAAGGACUCUACUUCACAGAAGGAGCCAGACGCCACGUGUGUCCUGCAGGACGACACACGGCCGCAGCAAAGGGGUCUUGCCCCAAAUCAAACUGAUGUGGCUCAGUCCCUAGGCCCAACCUCCAGUGAAUUUACAGGAGUCCCUCAAACCCCACCACAGAGAGGCAUGGUCACCAAGAUCAAGACAGUGAAAAAUUCUACACGACAAGUAAAUGGCGAGAGAAAAUAAGAAGAGGGAAAGGGAACAUAUGGAUUAAGAGACUUAAAAGAACAAUAAUCCGGGGCACACUCUGGGUGGCUCAGUCGGUUGAGCGUCUGACUCUUGAUUUCAGCUCAGGUCGCUGCCUCACAGUUUGUGGGAUCA